UACGUAGGGUGCGAGCGUUGUCCGGAAUUAUUGGGCGUAAAGGGCUCGUAGGCGGUUUGUCGCGUCGGGAGUGAAAACACCGGGCUUAACUCGGUGCUUGCUUCCGAUACGGGCAGACUAGAGGCAUGCAGGGGAGAACGGAAUUCCUGGUGUAGCGGUGAAAUGCGCAGAUAUCAGGAGGAACACCGGUGGCGAAGGCGGGUCUCUGGGCCGUAACUGACGCUGAGGAGCGAAAGCAUGGGGAGCGAACAGG
This 253-nucleotide ribosomal RNA is filed under the name uncultured bacterium. Its description in RNAcentral is "partial 16S ribosomal RNA". It matches the Rfam family "Bacterial small subunit ribosomal RNA", at positions 524 to 776 of the family's 1533-position model. The record is from RNAcentral.